RNAcentral lists this long non-coding RNA (643 nucleotides) under Homo sapiens (human). RNAcentral's name for it is "non-protein coding lnc-MYCBP2-2:3". The record is from RNAcentral. Lineage: Eukaryota; Metazoa; Chordata; Mammalia; Primates; Hominidae.
AUUGAUUGAACCUUAUUCUGGGGCUUCGGUUUGGCUUACUAGUUUGGGAUUUUAAAAAAAUAAAAAUUAAGCCUAUAGAGAGGGCAAAUUAAAAUUAGGUUGGGUAAAGGAAGGAGCGCGAGUGUUUGAAGCCGUUUGGAGGGAACAGCGGUUUCCAAGUUCCUGCUGACUUGAGAAGUCUCUGCGGGUUUCCGAAUCUCCGGCGCACUCCUGGGCGCGCUGCGGGAGCUGUAGCUCAGCCAGCCAGGGAGUAGCGGCUUUCAUCCGCCGGGAGGAGUCUUUCGAGUUCAAUCGCGGGGUAUAGAGGUUCCCCUGCGGGGCAAAAUGCAGAGCUUGACACAAGCCCUUGGCCUCUAGGCUCUGAAACUGCGGAGCGGCCACCGGACGCCUUCUGGAGCAGGUAGCAGCAUGCAGCCGCCUCCAAGUCUGUGCGGACGCGCCCUGGUUGCGCUGGUUCUUGCCUGCGGCCUGUCGCGGAUCUGGGGAGAGGAGAGAGGCUUCCCGCCUGACAGGGCCACUCCGCUUUUGCAAACCGCAGAGAUAAUGACGCCACCCACUAAGACCUUAUGGCCCAAGGGUUCCAACGCCAGUCUGGCGCGGUCGUUGGCACCUGCGGAGGUGCCUAAAGGAGACAGGACGGCAG